RNAcentral lists this ribosomal RNA (253 nucleotides) under uncultured Eubacteriales bacterium. RNAcentral describes it as "uncultured Clostridiales bacterium partial 16S ribosomal RNA". It matches the Rfam family "Bacterial small subunit ribosomal RNA", at positions 524 to 776 of the family's 1533-position model. The record is from RNAcentral. Lineage: Bacteria; Bacillati; Bacillota; Clostridia; Eubacteriales.
UACGGAGGGGGCAAGCGUUAUCCGGAUUUACUGGGUGUAAAGGGAGCGUAGACGGCACUGCAAGUCUGGAGUGAAAGCCCGAGGCCCAACCACGGGACUGCUCUGGAAACUGCGGGGCUGGAGUGCAGGAGGGGUAAGCGGAAUUCCUAGUGUAGCGGUGAAAUGCGUAGAUAUUAGGAGGAACAUCGGUGGCGAAAGCGCUUUACUGGACCAUUAUUGACGCUGAGGAACGAAAGCCAGGGGAGCAAACAGG